Molecule: long non-coding RNA, 349 nt
Filed under: Mus musculus (house mouse)
Lineage: Eukaryota; Metazoa; Chordata; Mammalia; Rodentia; Muridae
Description: long non-coding RNA chrX:49158222-49158571
Source: RNAcentral
ACAUGGCAGCCUCAACAAAAAACAAGAAUUAGAAGGGGAAGACCAUCUCCAUAACAGACUUUCUAGCUGAAGAUGGGGGACCUGGUGGAGGAAGCACCUACAUACCCAAACCAGUCAGCUGGGCUGAUGACACAGAAGAUCUGGAAGGAGAUGUGUCAACAAUGUGGCACACUAAUGAUGAUUAUGUGCACAGGGCCCCUACAAUUGACCUUUCUAUCCUUCCCACUGCUCCAUGGGCUGCUUGGGAACCCAGUAUCAACCUGAGCCAUCUUCCCAAAUUGCUACUCUACACUGCUUUCCUAGAGGAUCUGCUCUAUGAUGUGACAGAAGACUCUAAAAAAAUUCUUUA